AAGUCGUAACAAGGUUUCCGUAGGUGAACCUGCGGAAGGAUCAUUCACAAUAAAGUGUUUCUAGCACUUUUUAAAAAAUCUAGUACCCACCUUGUGUGCAACGUAUUGGUCAUGUGACUUGUCAUAUGAUUCAAUAAUACCAACCUUUAUUUUUAACGUAUGUCUGAAAAUAUUAUGAAUACUAUAAUUCAAAUAUAACUUUCAACAACGGAUCUCUUGGCUCUC
RNAcentral lists this unclassified non-coding RNA (225 nucleotides) under Mortierella sp. RNAcentral's name for it is "partial internal transcribed spacer region". The stretch from base 1 to 46 matches the Rfam family "Eukaryotic small subunit ribosomal RNA", at positions 1786 to 1831 of the family's 1831-position model. Lineage: Eukaryota; Fungi; Mortierellomycota; Mortierellomycetes; Mortierellales; Mortierellaceae. The record is from RNAcentral.